AUUCAUUUCACCAUUUUAUUGUCCAUGUUACAACUCUCAACACAUUUCCAGCUACAAAUAAAUACAUAACAAAGUGUAUUUUCUCAAUUAUGGGGAAUUAUCUACCAUGAAACUGAGACAUGAAAGUGGAGAAAAGAAGUCGGCAAAUAAAAUUUAGGGAAGAAGGGAAACAACUAGGUACAACAGAUGAUUCUGGGGCCUAGCUGUUAAUAUAGUUUGGCAAAGUUUAGGCCUUUGCAGCUGCGACUGGAGCUCCAGCUCUGCUGGCAACGAUUUGCUCGUAGAGGUCUCUGAUCUUCAAACCGACAAUGGUCUGGAAGAAACCUGUUCCAUUGUUGCUGCCAGGGAAGUCUGCAUGCUUCAACAUUUGUUGAGUAACUUCACCAUAGAAUUUGCUGGAGAGGUUGCUCAAAUGGCUCUCCACGUAGAUGAGUUCAUCUAGUCUGUCAAAUUGGCCAUCCAUCUCCAAGACAGAUACCUCAUUGCCAAAGUAGGUGUCAGGGCCAUAGGUGAAUUUGAUGCCAGGGUAAGAACAAGUCAACUUCCUGCCACAAGGAAUCCAUGAGAUUGUCGAUCCUUCAUCAAACAGGUAAACUGGAUUGAAGUUCUUCACUCCUUCCUUCAUUAUCAAUCUCACUCUCAAAACUUUGCCUUCAUUGUCAUCUGGGAUUAGCUGAGUUGGGAGCACUUCAAUGACUGCAUCUGCAUAUUGCUUUUGUGGAUCAAUGUAAGCAUCAAAAUCUGGUUUCCUAGCUUCAAUACUGGCCUUAAUGCUCUCAAGGCUGUGUCCUCUUUCAGCCAUAUCCCUCUGGAUCUUCCAAGCAAACUUGACCUCAUUGCUGAUAUCCAAGUAGAUACUGAAGUCCAAGAGGUCUCUCACACGCUCAUCGUACAUGGGGUGUAAUCCUUCAAUGACAAGAAUCUUUGGAGGCUUAAUAACCUCAGGAGGAUCAAGAAGACCACUAACAUGAUUAUAAAUAGGUUUAUCAACAGGAACCCCAUCUUUAAUAGCUUUAACUUGUUCAUACAUUAGAUCAAAAUCAUUAGCUCUUGGAUCAAGAGCAGUUACCCCUUUUUCUUUUCUACCAGUUCUGUCAAGUGAAUGAUAAUCAUCAAGACAAAUGACAGUAGUCAUGUCUGAUAUCAAUGUGUUUGAAUCUGGAUUUCCACCUUUCGGUGGUUCAGCAGCGCCACCAAAGACGCUGGUUAAUCGUCUCAUAAAUGUACUUUUACCACAACCAGAAUCAGCUGCUAGACCGAUUACAACUGUUUUUUCACCGUCAGAGGAAGCAGAGCAUGUCAUCUUCCUUGGUCUUUUUGUUAGGAAAAUUACUUGUUUCUGGUGAAAUCUUAAGUGGGGUUUUGAUGGAGUUGAAAUUGAACAAGAUGAAUUCAGUGAUUGAGCAGUGUACACUGUACAAACUGCCAUUUUUUUUAUUUUUGCCCCUCUAUCUCUCUGUUUCUUGAGAGGUUUUUGAGAUAGAAUUAUGGAGGAAGCUUUUUUAUUUUUUAUUUUUG
Molecule: unclassified non-coding RNA, 1518 nt
Filed under: Hevea brasiliensis (rubber tree)
Lineage: Eukaryota; Viridiplantae; Streptophyta; Magnoliopsida; Malpighiales; Euphorbiaceae
Source: RNAcentral